GCGGCUUGAUGAUGCCAUGGAUAGAUGAUUCAUGAACCUUUCUUUCUAAGAUCAGAGAAAAUGGAAGAAGACAUGACAUUAACGAUUGAGUGUGACUCAAGAAUGACAAGACAUAUUUAAAAAAGGGCGCGAAUUAAAAAAACCCAUUUUCAACAUUUUAAAUUUUUGUAGAAACCCAAAAACAGAGUAUUCAAAGUCGAAUGUGUUAAAGAUGUAGUUGACUACAGUGUUACAAAGAGAUUUAAAACAGAGUCAAAACAUACUCAAAAUACAGUUUUCAAAAACAAAGUAUAACAUGUAGACACACAUAGUCGAAUACAAUCAUAAUUUAGUCGACUAUUGUUCGAAAAUUGUUUUCAACAACAACACAAUCAAUCAAUCAUACAAACAAUCAUUCAAUCAAUCAGGCAUAAAAAAACCAUUCAAUUUACACAUAAUGCAAUAGAGUGAUACGAAUUACCCGUUGUAAAUACUCAGGAAGAAUGAUGUUACAAUGUAUAGCUCAUCCUUGAGUUCCUAUUGCAUCUGCCUGUUAUCCCACAAAAUAGUUCAAGUUUUUGUUGCAGGUACCCAUUUGAACUUGGGUCCAUGAUUGCUAGUUUUUCUCAAUUGUUCCUUUAGUUUGCAUACAUAUAAUCCUUUAGGAACAACAACAUUUUUGUAAUAACAAUUUCUAACAGUAUGACCAACACAAUUACAAUAAAAACAUGCAUUUCUAGCAGGUUUGCUUAAAUCAAUAAAUCUCUUUGUAUUGGUUUUGUUAAACUGAGUGAUGUAAGCCUGCCAUGGCCUGGAAUCCAUGAGAUAUAGCUCCAAACAGCAAGCAACCAGUGAAGCAGAGGAGUGCAGCGGAAUUGGAAGUAAAUGAAAGUGAUUUUGGUGUUUUAGUGAUGGAAGGAGUGUGUGAAUUGUCCUCUCAGCUCAGAAAGGCUAUCCACUAUAGAAGGAAGCUAGAGGAAAUGGUAGAGAAAUUGAAGAGUAAGAGUGACUCAAGAGUAAUAGGGCUAGAAAACAAUUUCUGCGGCAUUUCACUAAGCUCAAAAGUGGGAAAUUACAAAGGGGAGGCCCUCUUAUUUAUAGGUGAAGAGGGGUCUCAUUUCUGAUCUAAUUCCCUCCUAAAAUUCAAAUAAUUAUGCCCAAGAGACGCGCCAAUUCGAACCAGCAAGAGCCAUGCUUCAUUCUAGCUCAGCUAGCUCAUGCAUAGCAUGUGUCCUCGCCAGAGCUUGGGCGGCCAUGAGAUUGCAGCUUAGGCGUCACUCUGUCAGCAGCUCCCAGCUUUGCCUCUUUGCUGGCUU
RNAcentral lists this long non-coding RNA (1295 nucleotides) under Vigna radiata. RNAcentral's name for it is "long non-coding RNA (VRAD_LNC016835)". Lineage: Eukaryota; Viridiplantae; Streptophyta; Magnoliopsida; Fabales; Fabaceae. The record is from RNAcentral.